RNAcentral lists this ribosomal RNA (253 nucleotides) under uncultured bacterium. RNAcentral's name for it is "partial 16S ribosomal RNA". It matches the Rfam family "Bacterial small subunit ribosomal RNA", at positions 524 to 776 of the family's 1533-position model. The record is from RNAcentral.
UACGGGGGGGGCAAGCGUUGUUCGGAAUUACUGGGCGUAAAGGGCUUGUAGGCGGCCAACUAAGUCAUACGUGAAAUCCCUCGGCUUAACCGGGGAACUGCGUCUGAUACUGGAUGGCUUGAGAUUGGGAGAGGGAUGCGGAAUUCCAGGUGUAGCGGUGAAAUGCGUAGAUAUCUGGAGGAACACCGGUGGCGAAGGCGGCAUCCUGGACCGGUAUUGACGCUGAGGCGCGAAAGCUAGGGGAGCAAACGGG